RNAcentral lists this long non-coding RNA (1859 nucleotides) under Capsicum annuum. RNAcentral describes it as "long non-coding RNA (CANN_LNC000105)". The record is from RNAcentral. Lineage: Eukaryota; Viridiplantae; Streptophyta; Magnoliopsida; Solanales; Solanaceae.
UAAAAUGAUAUUUUCAUAAAACCAUCUUAAUAAUAAUAAUCUGGAGUUAAUUAUUAGUAACGUGAAAACCAAACAAUUUACUUACUGAAAUUUUCAAGACCCAAAUGUCAUCGUACAAGAACUACUAACAAAGAUCAUAUCUAAAGUGAUAUCCAAAAAUAAAGUAAAUAAAGAAUGUUUCAUUGCCCGAAAGAUGGACAAGAACAAAUAAGAUGACCCAUGGCAGCCUGGAGACGGAGUGCUCACCCUUGGAUCAAGAUCUGCUAUCAAACUCUAGAGGUGAGGUCAUGUCUGAGCCUAGAACGCUAUCUGCACUCAACAAAAGAAGAGUACAGGGUAGUAUCAGUAAAAACCACUAUGUACUAGUAGGUAUCAUAGGCCAACUCAAUUUAAUAACAUGUACACAAUAUAAAUCAAAUAACAAGUAGACAUGCAUCGUCACACAAUAAAUAUUCAAUGAAGCAAUAAUAUAACAACAACAGGUCAAACAGUACUCACAAACAAGCCACAAAACCAUCAAGAGUAUUAACCACACUGUAAACAUCCACAGAUCUAACACAAAUAUAUACACACAUGCUAUGAGACUUAUUUUUUUCCAAAUAGUCAUGACCUACAGGGAACAAUCUAUGUUCAUGUAUCAUACCGGUGUGGUACCCGAUCCAACAUAAAUAUAAAUGUAUCGGCGUGGUACCCGAUCCAACAUAAAUAUAAACGUACCAGCGUGGUACCCGAUCCAACAUAAAUAUAAACGUACCGACGUGGUACCCGAUCCAACAUAAAUAUAAAUGUACCGGCGUGGUACCCGAUCAACAUAAAUAUAAACGUACCGGCGUGGUACCCGAUCCAACAUAAACAUAACCAAGUAGUAUCAAUAUCAAUUUACACAACCUUAUAGCAUGCCACACAAUGUACCAAGUUUACAAGUACACUUAAAGUCAUAAGACAAUUCCAUCAAGUCAAUUUUCAAUAAACAUUUAUACACAAAUCAACAAUCCAAACAUCAACAAUUUCAAGCAUGUCCGAAUACCAAUCCACAAGUAUCCAAUUUAGGAGCAUACACACAAUUAAAUUGAGUUUAAACUCUAAUUAAACUGUAACCUACCUCAACCAAUGAAUCUAAACGUAGUUAGUCCACAAGCGCCUUGCUUUUCCUCAAAGAUUAAGAACGUUCAAAAUUUGUUCCAACAUAAUAAAUACUCCCCGUAAAAGUAUGAAUCUAAUAACACGCGUUGAUAAAUUUUCUGUAAAAUUCUAAACCUAAAACCAAAAGGUUUCUAUUAAGAAGAUUGUAGUUAGUAACAAAUGCAUGAAAAAUUUUCCUAAGGCCUAAUAUAACCAUGAAUACGCACUGCUGGAAUUAAGAAAUCUUUACAUUAUCCAACUUCCCCCCUACGUCAUCAUCGUAGGCCUAUGAUUAAAAAUCUUUACACAAUUAUUAGAAAAGAACAAGAUUUAUAUAACAUGGAUACCUAAUUCUAAAACAACAAUACACUUAUUUGUGCACCACUGCCUAACAUCACACACCCUCACAUUACUGUACACCACUUCCCAUGACAUGAUAGUUACCUAUUAGUAGAUAAAACUUCAAUUCCACAACCUAAAUAGCCUAAUUAGUUCGUCACUUUUCAUAGCAAUGCCACUGCAUCUUUUCGUUAUUAACCACCAGAAGAGAAGAUAAUUUUAAUAGAUUGGUUACAAAUUGAUAAACUCGUUACAGUGGUACAUGUGUACACAUCUUAAUUCAAUGAAAAUCUAACCUGGAGUUUACACCGAGAGAUGAGAGAUUCUUUUUGAAAAUUCAAUGGUGAAACCGUAGGUUUCAUGCCCCACUUCUUGCCCUAAUAUAUGAUGAUAUUAAU